Molecule: long non-coding RNA, 424 nt
Filed under: Amborella trichopoda
Lineage: Eukaryota; Viridiplantae; Streptophyta; Magnoliopsida; Amborellales; Amborellaceae
Description: long non-coding RNA (ATRI_LNC000946)
Source: RNAcentral
AUAAUUGCUUUUUCUCUUUGUGACUAGGUGGUUGUAAUAAAUUUUCUAUUCUAUUAGAUUGUUUUCCAAGGGUAUGAAGACAGAGAUUUGUAUAAUUAUUUUGUUCAAUUAUGUGUGGAAGUAAUUCUAUACGAGGUAUAUUAGCAUUAUUCAACUUGUAAGGUGUGGCUACUGUUUCAUAAACAACUAUUUGAGUAGAUGGCGAUCCUUCAGUUUGGUCUGAAGAUUUUGGUACUGUAGUUGCCAUCCCUUGUAUUUUCAGACUUUGUUCUGGAGGGUGUAUGGAUUUAAUUGUUUUUCCCUCUGUUGUAUUAAAGGUAGUGUAUUGGGUUUCUACUGUAUUUAAUUCAAACUCAGGAAUUGGGAUAUUAUGUUGUUUAAGAGUAUCCCUUAACCAAUCAAAAAAACAUUUUCCUUUAUUUCC